GACGAACGCUGGCGGCGUGCCUAAUACAUGCAAGUCGAACGAGAGCGUCCGGUGCUUGCACUGGUCAAUCUAGUGGCGAACGGGUGAGUAACCCGUGGGUAACCUGCCCAUCAGAGGGGGAUAACAUUCGGAAACGGAUGCUAAAUCCGCAUAGGUUCUCCAGUCGCAUGACUGAAGAAGGAAAAGAGGCUUCGGCUUCUGCUGAUGGAUGGCCCCGCGGUGCAUUAGCUAGUUGGUGAGGUAACGGCUCACCAAGGCCGUGAUGCAUAGCCGACCUGAGAGGGUGAUCGGCCACAUUGGGACUGAGACACGGCCCAAACUCCUACGGGAGGCAGCAGUAGGGAAUCUUCCGCAAUGGACGCAAGUCUGACGGAGCAACGCCGCGUGAGUGAAGAGGGAUUUCGGUUCGUAAAACUCUGUUGUUAGAGAAGAACAGCGCAUAGAGUA
RNAcentral lists this ribosomal RNA (447 nucleotides) under Granulicatella elegans. RNAcentral's name for it is "bacterial SSU rRNA". It matches the Rfam family "Bacterial small subunit ribosomal RNA", at positions 28 to 463 of the family's 1533-position model. Lineage: Bacteria; Bacillati; Bacillota; Bacilli; Lactobacillales; Carnobacteriaceae. The record is from RNAcentral.